RNAcentral lists this ribosomal RNA (253 nucleotides) under uncultured bacterium. RNAcentral's name for it is "partial 16S ribosomal RNA". It matches the Rfam family "Bacterial small subunit ribosomal RNA", at positions 524 to 776 of the family's 1533-position model. The record is from RNAcentral.
CACGUAGGGCGCGAGCGUUGUCCGGAAUUAUUGGGCGUAAAGAGCUCGUAGGCGGCCUGUUGCGUCCGCUGUGAAAGCCCGGGGCUUAACCCCGGGUCGGCAGUGGAUACGGGCAGGCUAGAGGUAGGUAGGGGAGAAUGGAAUUCCCGGUGUAGCGGUGAAAUGCGCAGAUAUCGGGAAGAACACCCGUGGCGAAGGCGGUUCUCUGGGACGGUACUGACGCUGAGACGCGAAAGCGUGGGGAGCGAACAGG